GUUGUAGGUGAGGUAACGGCUUACCUAGCCUAUGAUGCGUAGUUGAUUUGGGAGAUAGGUCAGCCACAUCGGGACUGAGACAAGGUCCGAGCUCCUACGGGGGGCAGCAGUGAAGAAUCUUGGGCAAUGGGCUACCGCCUGACCCAGUGAGAACACAUGCAUGAUGAAUGCGCACAGUUUUCUGUAAAGUGCUAUUCGCGGGAUCAAGAAAACGACACAAGCCCGAGAUGAAGCGCCGGCCAACUCCGUGCCAGCAGCCGCGGUA
RNAcentral lists this ribosomal RNA (265 nucleotides) under Prasinoderma coloniale. Its description in RNAcentral is "partial Bacterial small subunit ribosomal RNA". It matches the Rfam family "Bacterial small subunit ribosomal RNA", at positions 245 to 522 of the family's 1533-position model. Lineage: Eukaryota; Viridiplantae; Prasinodermophyta; Prasinodermophyceae; Prasinodermales; Prasinodermaceae. The record is from RNAcentral.